Molecule: long non-coding RNA, 484 nt
Organism: Drosophila willistoni
Lineage: Eukaryota; Metazoa; Arthropoda; Insecta; Diptera; Drosophilidae
Exons: 2
Source: RefSeq, a predicted model, not a curated record
CUUAGCUGAGAGCAAUGCCACACUCUAUCUUUGUAACAAGAUUCAUCUUCAUCUUGGAAGGAUUAACAAUUGAAGUAUUGACAAAUGUCAAACGGUUCUACAAAACGGAAACUGAUCUACGUAGGACUGGAACAGGAUUCAGUGUUUUGUCAAAAUUGUCUGUUAUAUUUACGUCCAGAAUUAAUUUUUAAUCCACAAGACAUAUCAAAACUUUUUUAUGUGUUUCAAACAGAUAUGUAAGAACAUCUUUGACUGCUUACUACAUAUUUUAGGGGACGAAAUUCCCUUAAAUCACUUAAAUCUCUAAAAUCGCCACUGAAUUUACAAAUCCUUCUUCAACUGGUAAGAAUUUUCCUACUGAAACAGCGUCAAUCUGACUGUAUUAAAACUGGAAACUGGAACGCAGGACUAUAAUUAAAAAGGUCGGACUAUAACAGCAAUUUUUUAACCUUGCUAUAUUGCAAUAAACUAGACUGUAAAUGGU